Non-coding RNA from Paramisgurnus dabryanus, 512 nucleotides. NCBI's taxonomy places the organism in Eukaryota, Metazoa, Chordata, Actinopteri, Cypriniformes, Cobitidae. The record is from RefSeq and is a predicted model, not a curated record.
AGGGAUCGUUUCUGAGAUUUUCCUGACCACACAAACAGAUUCCACAUCCUCAACCAGUGAAACCAGCACACCAGGUGUUGUCAAUGCAUCAUCACCUGAUGCUUUUACUGACAAAGACACAAAAGCAGUCCAUGCAGAUUCUGUCCUCUAUGCGGUCGGAGCUGGGCUUCUAGCUGUGAUUGUAUUUUCUGUUGUACUGGUCUGCAUUUUUUGGUACAAAAAGAGAGUACAGACAUCAGCAGUGUCAGCACCAUCUACACACACGGCUAAUGAUUAUAAAAUCGAGGAGAGCAACUGUGAUUAUGAGAAUGAUCCACAAGAGAGACCGAAUGCAACCACAGAGAAAUCUAAAAACAAGACUAAAGGCUUUCAGAGGCAAACAGAUCCGGUCUACGUGAAUACAUGUCAACACUAUGGCAGAUCCUAACUAGAACUGGGCACAAAAAUCGAUUUUUGAUUAACUGUUUUUAUGUGGUUGAUUCUUUAUCAAUUCUCAAAAGCCCAGAAUAUUU